UCAUAUGCUUGUCCCGAAGCUUAAGCCAUGCAUGUAUCUGAAUAAUUAGUAGCUAGAUCCCGAAUCUGCGAACGGCUCCGUAUAUCUGUUACCACCCACCAUCGUCGAAUAGACUGGAUAACCUCGGUAAUUCUGAGGCUAAUACGUGUACUCNGGGUGGGCCCCGCUUGGGGCCCGCUCGGUCUUGCCAGGAAACCAACGGGGGGCCUGGCCCCCUCGAGUGAGUACAGGCAAGGGUACCUGAGUGUGGCAGAGGCCGCACUGCGUAUGACGGGUGUCAGACCUAUCAACUAGAUGGCCAGGUAGAGCCUGGCCAUGGUUUUAACGGGUACAGAGGAUCAGGGUUCGGUCCUGGAGAGGUAGCCUGAGAGAUCGCUACUACUUCUAAGGAAGGCAGCAGGCGCGCAACGUUCCCAAUGGGGACACCCUGAGGACGUGAAGGGACAUACCAAUGCCCGGCCCUUAAAGCCGGGCAAUUGGAAUGGGGGAGAUCCAAACCCCGCACCGAGUAACAAUUGGAG
RNAcentral lists this ribosomal RNA (521 nucleotides) under Trichia erecta. RNAcentral describes it as "SSU rRNA". It matches the Rfam family "Eukaryotic small subunit ribosomal RNA", at positions 24 to 553 of the family's 1831-position model. Lineage: Eukaryota; Evosea; Eumycetozoa; Trichiida; Trichiidae. The record is from RNAcentral.